CCAGACUCCUACGGGAGGCAGCAGUGGGGAAUAUUGCACAAUGGGGGAAACCCUGAUGCAGCGACGCCGCGUGAGUGAAGAAGUAAUUCGUUAUGUAAAGCUCUAUCAGCAGGGAAGAAAAUGACGGUACCUGAGUAAGAAGCCCCGGCUAACUACGUGCCAGCAGCCGCGGUAAUACGUAGGGGGCAAGCGUUAUCCGGAUUUACUGGGUGUAAAGGGAGCGUAGACGGCAGUGCAAGUCUGGAGUGAAAGGCGGGGGCUCAACCCCCGGACUGCUCUGGAAACUGCCGGGCUGGAGUGUCGGAGGGGCAGGCGGAAUUCCUAGUGUAGCGGUGAAAUGCGUAGAUAUUAGGAGGAACACCGGUGGCGAAGGCGGCCUGCUGGACGACGACUGACGCUGAGGCUCGAAAGCGUGGGGAGCAAACAGGAUUAGAUACCCGGGUAC
RNAcentral lists this ribosomal RNA (445 nucleotides) under uncultured bacterium. RNAcentral describes it as "bacterial SSU rRNA". It matches the Rfam family "Bacterial small subunit ribosomal RNA", at positions 331 to 793 of the family's 1533-position model. The record is from RNAcentral.